CCCGCUCAGAAACUUAAAGGAAUUGACGGGGGCCCGGCACAAGCGGAGGAACAUGUGGUUUAAUUCGAUGAUACGCGAGGAACCUUACCUGGGCUAGAACGCAUUCGGAAUCAGGCCGAAAGGCCUGCGCCAGCGAUGGCCGCUUGCGAGGUGCUGCAUGGUUGUCGUCAGCUCGUGCCGUGAGGUGUCGGGUUAAGUCCCAUAACGAGCGCAACCCCUACUGCUAGUUGCCAGCGGGUCAUGCCGGGGACUCUAGCGGAACUGCCAGCGUAAGCUGCGAGGAAGGUGGGGAUGACGUCAAAUCGGCACGGCCCUUACGUCCAGGGCUACACACGUGUUACAAUGGCCGGUACAGAGGGCAGCCACCCCGCGAGGGGGCGCGAAUCCCGAAAGCCGGUCCCAGUUCGGAUCGGAGUCUGCAACCCGACUCCGUGAAGCUGGAUUCGCUAGUAAUCGCGCAUCAGCCACGGCGCGGUGAAUACGUUCCCGGGCCUU
This 495-nucleotide ribosomal RNA is filed under the name uncultured Rikenellaceae bacterium. Its description in RNAcentral is "bacterial SSU rRNA". It matches the Rfam family "Bacterial small subunit ribosomal RNA", at positions 888 to 1382 of the family's 1533-position model. Lineage: Bacteria; Pseudomonadati; Bacteroidota; Bacteroidia; Bacteroidales; Rikenellaceae. The record is from RNAcentral.